GUCGAGAAUCUUCCGCAAUGCGCGAAAGCGUGACGGAGCGACACCGCGUGAUGGAUGAAGUCCUUCGGGGCGUAAACAUCUUUUAUAAAGGAGGAAAUUUUUGACGUUACUUUAUGAAUAAGGGGCUCCCAAUCUCGUGCCAGCAGGAGCGGUAAUACGAGAGCCUCAAGCGUUAUCCGUAAUCAUUGGGCGUAAAGGGUGCGUAGGUGGUUUGAUUAGUCUCCCGUUAAAACUUCGAGCUUAACGCGAAAAGAGCGGGGGAAACGGUCAAACUAGAGUAUGUGAGAGGUGUGUGGAACUCAUGGUGUAGGGGUGAAAUCCGUUGAUAUCAUGGGGAACACCAAAAGCGAAGGCAGCACACUGGCACAUCACUGACACUGAGGCACGAAACCUAAGGUAGCGAAUGGGAUUAGAAACCCGUGUAGUCC
This 428-nucleotide ribosomal RNA is filed under the name uncultured bacterium. RNAcentral describes it as "partial 16S ribosomal RNA". It matches the Rfam family "Bacterial small subunit ribosomal RNA", at positions 354 to 796 of the family's 1533-position model. The record is from RNAcentral.